UUUAAUUUGUGUUUGCCCUUACAGAGAUCAUCUAGUAAGAGACUGCAAAAAAAGAAGAGCAACUGGGAGCAAUUCCUAAGAAUAACCAAUAUUUAAAGUUUAGUUAGAAAAGGAACCAGCAGUAGCUGAGACAUAUUUAUGAGCACUGGGUCCACCCUCAAGAAACUGCUGUAUCACCAUACUCUUCUAAUACUCUAAGAAUUCUUCUUCAUAUGUAUCUGCCCCUAUUUUCUGCCUCGGUGGUUGUUCAGCAUUAAUUCAGGAGGAUUCAGAGAAAAACAGUUUUAACAGGCACAGCUUUAACAUUCAUUUUCGACCCACUGAAGAGGAGAUGAGCUUAUUGGCUGGUGCACCUUGACAACAUGUAGGUGGAAAACAGGACAUUCAGUCUUUGGUGCAGAGUGGUCUGGGAGAUACUUAUGAACCAUUUUAGCACAUUUCAG
Molecule: long non-coding RNA, 443 nt
Filed under: Gorilla gorilla gorilla (western lowland gorilla)
Lineage: Eukaryota; Metazoa; Chordata; Mammalia; Primates; Hominidae
Description: lncRNA (ENSGGOG00000044371.1)
Source: RNAcentral